CGUGGUGAGUAACACGUGGAUAACCUACCUAUAAGACUGGGAUAACUUCGGGAAACCGGAGCUAAUACCGGAUAAUAUAUUGAACCGCAUGGUUCAAUAGUGAAAGACGGUUUUGCUGUCACUUAUAGAUGGAUCCGCGCCGCAUUAGCUAGUUGGUAAGGUAACGGCUUACCAAGGCAACGAUGCGUAGCCGACCUGAGAGGGUGAUCGGCCACACUGGAACUGAGACACGGUCCAG
This 238-nucleotide ribosomal RNA is filed under the name uncultured Staphylococcus sp. RNAcentral's name for it is "partial 16S ribosomal RNA". It matches the Rfam family "Bacterial small subunit ribosomal RNA", at positions 105 to 334 of the family's 1533-position model. The record is from RNAcentral. Lineage: Bacteria; Bacillati; Bacillota; Bacilli; Caryophanales; Staphylococcaceae.